ACGAUGAAGAACGCAGCGAAAUGCGAUACCUAGUGUGAAUUGCAGAAUUCCGUGAAUCAUCGAGUUUUUGAACGCAAGUUGCGCCCGAGGCUCGUCUGAGGGCAUGCCUGCCUGAGCGUCCGC
Molecule: ribosomal RNA, 123 nt
Filed under: Lejeunea ramosissima
Lineage: Eukaryota; Viridiplantae; Streptophyta; Jungermanniopsida; Porellales; Lejeuneaceae
Description: partial 5.8S ribosomal RNA
Rfam family: 5.8S ribosomal RNA
About the family: 5.8S ribosomal RNA (5.8S rRNA) is a component of the large subunit of the eukaryotic ribosome. It is transcribed by RNA polymerase I as part of the 45S precursor that also contains 18S and 28S rRNA.
Source: RNAcentral